Molecule: long non-coding RNA, 2580 nt
Organism: Lactuca sativa (garden lettuce)
Lineage: Eukaryota; Viridiplantae; Streptophyta; Magnoliopsida; Asterales; Asteraceae
Source: RefSeq, a predicted model, not a curated record
CAUAAACUUUUCCAGAUUUUCGCUUUCAAGCCAUCUCUCUCAAAGAAAAACCAUCGCUCGCCAUCUUUCGCCUCAUUCUCCACCACCUACCGCCAACUACAACAACCACCACCACCUUCACCACCGUCAUCAUCAGUCGCUGCCCUCCAUAAACCCUAUCCGUCAUCACCACCACACCCUACAAUUUAUUUUGUCUGUCUUAUCUUUUAUUCCCUACUUUCUUUGACGAUAUAUCCAAUAUUGAAAAGAAUCAUCCCUGAUUACUAAACGAUCCCCUCAAAAUUCAAACCCAUGUAAUAUUAAAGAUAUAGAGAACAAUUACAAAAAGUGGACGGUGGUCGGCUCCGGCAACGACUCAACGUUUCCACAUUUACUGGCUGAUCUUAUUUUCAUGGUGUGGGCAUAUGUUCCUGAUCCUUGGUUACAUUCCAUUGGUAUCUUUUAUUAUCCUAGCAAGUAAGUAUGCACAAUUCUUUGAAAAUCCUAGCAUAAUGUGUUUUUGUUCAUUAAGUGUUGUCUGGUUAAAGUGUAUGUUACAUUUUAUAUUUUACGUAAAACUUGUUAUGAAAUUUUGUAUAACAUACCUUUUUUUUUAAAAAAAAAAAAAAAAAAAAACUUUGAGGUACUGGGCAUUGGCACUUCCUGCUUAUGCCAUGGUGAUCAUUGCAACAAUCUUCAUAUUCUACAUUGGCCUCAACUUUAUGGCAACUCCAUCUCCAUCAUCAUUCAACUCAAUAUUUGGUGAGUUAAUCUCCCAUAAGGCUUCUUAUUUAUGCAACAAAGUGGUCUUUAGAUGAAAAAUAUUUAACCACGUUAAUGUGUUUUAGUGGUUGCAUAUUUUGUGUCAGUUUCAUAAGUUGGUAAAAGAAAGUAUAUUUUUGACAAAUGAAAACAGCAGAGAACCCGUGUGUUGUGAUUCUGUGGUGGAGGAAGAUGAUCGACCCAUUGAGCCUUACUCUGAUAUGGGAAUUGAUCAGAUUAAUGAACUCAUGUGUUUUUGGAGCUUAAGUGGUGAAAGUUAAAUAUACUUGACAUUAUCACAAUCAGAAUCAAUGACAUUAUCCUCAACAGAUGUAAUAUUUCUAUGAGGAUCAAAGGAGAAAAAGUGAUCAAAGGAGAAAGAGUUAUGGAAUUUAAGAUGUAAUAUUUCUUACUUAUAUGUCAGAAACAGUUCAUAGAUUACUCUAAAACAAGCAAAUCGGCUCCAAUCUUAAAUAUUACUAAAAGAGAACCUUUAAUUCCACAUUUAAGAAAUCAGGACCGUUUAUUGCAUUUCAAUCCUAUAUUUUAGACCGUUAGAUUAUUUGCUUACUUCAUGGUUUGAAAACGUCUCCUGAAUGAUAUUCAUAAAAUCAGAGAAACCUUAACCCUAAUUAGCCUCCACUCUUGACACCGGCCAUGCUUUCUCCACCGACGAAUAGCUUCCUAAGUUCACCGAUUACUUCCAGCAAAUUAAUUUUUUUUCCUUUGCAAAGUGGUGGUUUGAAUUUGAUACUGAUCUUGCUCUUCGAAGUCUUCUCUUCCCCUCAAUCUUGUGUUUAGCUUAGCCGCAUCCUUAUAUUAUAAUCAACAAUAAAAGAUCAAGGCUGGAUUUAGGUAAAUUGAAGCACAAACGAAAUAUUGAGGCUGGAUCUGGAAAAAUAGAAAGUAAAAAUCUUUUUUAUAUAGUCGCACCCCUAUGCCCUCUCUAUGAACAUCCACCGUCGGUACCACUGCAACCAGCCAUCUACAACCCCUCACCAUCUCCUUCAUCUUCCGGCUCUCACGCUCUCAUCAACUCUCGCAAUCGAUUUAUGGUUCAAGCCCUAAAUCGAUUUAUGGUUCUCAUGUAAAUAUUGCAUCUUAUGUUAGAGCCAUGCUUGCUACCAAACUUUCUGAGCUUGCUUUCGUUGAUCCAAAGAGGGCAAACAUGACUUUGGGAACUGAUUAGGGGGAAUAAGACAUUCACAUUUGUGGGGAUGUCUUUAGUUAACGACUAAAGAAUAGGUGAAGAUGACUGAACCAAGCGAGAUUUCUAAAUCCAACAAGCAUCCUGAUAAGAACCCAAUAAUAAGAAGGAAACAGAAGCUAUGUUUAAACAAAUCUGUGAAUCAUAUGAUGAGGGAUUCUACCAAGGAGACUACAGUGUAUAUCGACAAAAUUAUUAAAAUUCGAGAAGUGACAUUUGUUCAUGGUGUAGAUAUUCAGUGAGAUAAUGUUGGUGGUUGUUGAUGAUGUUGGGAUUCAAGCAAAUGAUUCUGAUUAUAGUUCGAAUGCAAGACUCUUGGGUUUGAUGUAUUCACAAGUACACAACCAAUGAACCAAUUAGUAAAAUAAGUCCCGGUAAUAAGGAUGAAUACAAUAACGGAAAGGGAUCUAAAGGUUGAAUAAGACCUCUUUUAACCUUUAAACUUUCUUGAUGUAUAUCCAAUUUUUGUAAUUAUGUUAUGUAAAGUCUUAGUUAUGACUAUAUAGAACUUGGCGAAUUUGACUUUAUGGACAUAUCUUAAUAUCUUUUUUGUGUGAAAUGAAGCAUGACAAGUGAACUACAAAGUAAAGUGGCAUGAAUUUAAAUUUAGAAUAUAUUUGGAUAUUAACUUA